GAUGAACGCUAGCGACAGGCUUAACACAUGCAAGUCGAGGGGCAGCAUAAAAGUAGCAAUACUUUGGUGGCGACCGGCGCACGGGUGAGUAACGCGUAUGCAACCUACCUAUCAGAGGGGAAUAACCCGGCGAAAGUCGGACUAAUACCGCAUAAAACAGGGGCACCGCAUGGUGAUAUUUGUUAAAGAAAUUCGCUGAUAGAUGGGCAUGCGUUCCAUUAGGUAGUUGGUGAGGUAACGGCUCACCAAGCCGACGAUGGAUAGGGGAACUGAGAGGUUGGUCCCCCACACUGGUACUGAGACACGGACCAGACUCCUACGGGAGGCAGCAGUGAGGAAUAUUGGUCAAUGGGCGGGAGCCUGAGCCAGCCAAGUCGCGUGAAGGAAGAAGGUCUUACGGAUUGUAAACUUCUUUAGCAGGGGAAUAAAAGACGAUACGAGUUAUCGUGUUGAAAGUACUUUGCGAAAAAGGAUCGGCUAACUCCGUGCCAGCAGCCGCGGUAAUGCUACGU
RNAcentral lists this ribosomal RNA (512 nucleotides) under uncultured bacterium. RNAcentral's name for it is "bacterial SSU rRNA". It matches the Rfam family "Bacterial small subunit ribosomal RNA", at positions 28 to 528 of the family's 1533-position model. The record is from RNAcentral.